AUUGAACGCUGGCGGCAGGCUUAACACAUGCACGUCGAGCGAGCGGCGGACGGGUGAGUCAUGUCUGUGACACUGCCUGAUGGCGGGGGAUAACUCCUGGAAACGGUAUCUAAUACCGCAUACCAUCAGAUGUGCCCAGAUGGGAUUAGCUAGUAGGUGGGGUAAUGGCUCAACUAGGCGACGAUCCCUAGCUGGUCUGAGAGGAUGACCAGCCACACUGGAACGGAGACACGGUCCAGACUCCUACGGGAGGCAGCAGUGGGGAAUAUUGCACAAUGGGCGCAAGCCUGAUGAAGACAUGCCGCGUGUGUGAAGAAGGACUUCGGGUUGUAAAGCACUUUCAGCGGGGAGGCGUUACUCGCAGAAGAAGCACCGGCUAACUCCGUGCCAGCAGCCGCGGUAAUUC
Molecule: ribosomal RNA, 406 nt
Filed under: uncultured bacterium
Lineage: Bacteria
Description: partial 16S ribosomal RNA
Rfam family: Bacterial small subunit ribosomal RNA
Source: RNAcentral